GACAGAGGUGGCAAGCGUUGUUCGGAAUCACUGGGCAUAAAGGGCGCGUAGGUGGUCAAGCAGGUCAGAGGUGAAAUCCCCCGGCUCAACCGGGGAAUUGCCUUUGAAACCACUUGGCUGGAGCAGAAGAGGGGAGAGUGGAACUCGUGGUGGAGCGGUGAAAUGCGUAGAUAUCACGAGGAACGCCGGCGGCGAAAGCGACUCUCUGGCUUCUUGCUGACGCUGAGGCGCGAAAGCUAGGGGAG
RNAcentral lists this ribosomal RNA (245 nucleotides) under uncultured bacterium. RNAcentral describes it as "partial 16S ribosomal RNA". It matches the Rfam family "Bacterial small subunit ribosomal RNA", at positions 524 to 768 of the family's 1533-position model. The record is from RNAcentral.